GUGAGCCAAUUACGACUACUUUGAAACGAAAACAAGAGGCAGUUUCAGCAACCAUCAUUCAACGUGCUUAUAAAAAUUACCGCUUGAGGCGAAAUGACAAAAAUACAUCAGAUAUUCAUAUGAUAGAUGGUGACAGAGAUGUUCAUGCUACUAAAGAAGGUGCCUAUUUUGACAAAGCUAAGGAAAAGUCACCUAUUCAAAGCCA
This 205-nucleotide long non-coding RNA is filed under the name Homo sapiens (human). RNAcentral's name for it is "non-protein coding lnc-SCN9A-2:3". The record is from RNAcentral. Lineage: Eukaryota; Metazoa; Chordata; Mammalia; Primates; Hominidae.